This is a long non-coding RNA of Tigriopus californicus, 845 nucleotides long. RefSeq lists it as uncharacterized. The transcript is spliced from 2 exons. NCBI's taxonomy places the organism in Eukaryota, Metazoa, Arthropoda, Copepoda, Harpacticoida, Harpacticidae. The record is from RefSeq and is a predicted model, not a curated record.
CUGUGUCCCCGUUCUUGACUUGAUCAAGGCUGAAUUAGUGUCGUACUUUUGACAUGAGACUUGAUUCAUAUUACUUAGUAUAGUAUCAAGCACCAAUCAGCACGGAAUCCAAGAUCAUGUCCCUUUGAGAUGACUCAGAAUAUUAAUGUGCGUCAGAUUUGAAUAUCUGCGUGAAGGCAUGAUAACGUCCAUUUAGCACAGGUCUCCUUCCUCUCUUGCUUUGAACGUUCGGAGUACUUGAGCAAUAAAUUUUAUCCGAUCCUGAUUGGCACCGUGAACCAAGUGAGGCGAGCAUUUUUAGUAGCACCAUUGCUUCGUCUACCACCACCACGUUCACCAAGACUUCGUCCUUCCUCUACUAACAGCUUCCUUCCAUGGCCAGAAGGCUGAGCGUGAGAGUGUUCCAUCGAGAAAGUGAGAGAAGAACCUUGAGCAGACCUUCUUUCUAGGGCAAUACUAAUUCCAGCCCAGACAAGCACCAGUAAAGAUCACUCGAAGACGGGCAAUAUGACGGAUGUCUUUCCAAUGAGCUUGACCAAUGAAUACCAAAGGAGAGGAGAAAGGCUGGGAAGCAGAGAGGCAGGGGAAAGGGAAAAUCCGACUUUUGAUGGUUUGAUCACUUGAUCCUUUUCUCUCUUUCCCUUUUUAGGCCUCAAAAUGGCCCUCUUUGAGAUUGGAAAGUUCUCUUGCCAAUAAAUCCAUUUCAAUCCACCGAGGAUGAGGGGCAUCAUAAAUCGAAGCAAGCAACCAAAGCAAAUAGAACAGUAGUGUAUACCGCAGAGGUCCUGGUCCUCCCCCUGCCAUCCAUUGAGAUUGUUUUUGUUCAUAAAGUUCGCUUUGGUCCA